CCGGGAAUUUUGGGCAAUGGGGGAAACCCUGACCCAGCAACGCCGCGUGAAGGAUGAAGUAUUUCGGUAUGUAAACUUCGAAAGAAUAGGAAGAAUAAAUGACGGUACCGUAAGAAUAAGCACCGGCUAACUACGUGCCAGCAGCCGCGGUAAUACGUAGGGUGCAAGCGUUAAUCGGAAUUACUGGGCGUAAAGCGUGCGCAGGCGGUUAUGUAAGACAGGUGUGAAAUCCCCGGGCUUAACCUGGGAACUGCAUUUGUGACUGCAUAGCUAGAGUACGGUAGAGGGGGAUGGAAUUCCGCGUGUAGCAGUGAAAUGCGUAGAUAUGCGGAGGAACACCGAUGGCGAAGGCAAUCCCCUGGACCUGUACUGACGCUCAUGCACGAAAGCGUGGGGAGCAAACAGGAUUAGAUACCCACGUAGUCCCUGAGCGGGCUGGCAAGGCGCAU
This 449-nucleotide ribosomal RNA is filed under the name uncultured bacterium. RNAcentral describes it as "bacterial SSU rRNA". It matches the Rfam family "Bacterial small subunit ribosomal RNA", at positions 355 to 825 of the family's 1533-position model. The record is from RNAcentral.